Triticum aestivum (bread wheat) is the source of this 845-nucleotide long non-coding RNA. RefSeq lists it as uncharacterized. NCBI's taxonomy places the organism in Eukaryota, Viridiplantae, Streptophyta, Magnoliopsida, Poales, Poaceae. The transcript has 3 exons. The record is from RefSeq and is a predicted model, not a curated record.
UGAGUGUCAGGCCACACCCGCCCGCACGAAGCGAGGCGUUUGUUAGGCUCCAUAAUUCCACACGAUCCGUACUGAUCUGAUCCAGAGUGUUAACACAUACUGCUGCAGACCUGCAGUGCUUCCUUGAUCUUCUUCCCCUACCCAACAACCACUCCGCUUUACCCAACCUCGACGCACUUUUCUCCCAGAGUCCUCCGACGACCUCCAUCGAUCCGCUCCACUGGACUGCCCCUGGCGCAUUCGGACUCUGGAUUCAUCCCCUGGUGCCGUUGGUGAGCAGAUCGAACUUGAUUGAGGGAGUGGAGCAAGAUGGUGAAAUGAUUGCUGUGAAGAAAAUUGUGUCGUCAUUUAGGCCAGGCCUACAGAAGCAAUUCGAGAAUGACGUUUAUCAUCUUAUGAUGCUUAAGCACCCCAAUAUAGUGCAGUUUGUAGGCUACUGCUAUGAAACACAUAAUUCGCGCUUAGAGUGUGACGGAAGAUAUGUUUUCACGGAAAUGGCGGAAAGGUUACUUUGCUUGGAGUAUCUGCCCAAGGAAGCCUGGAUAAUUAUCUAUCAGACCCUUACAAAAUAGAGAAAUGUGCUACAUAGAUCACUGGGACAUCGAUCCCUAGAAACAGACCCUGGACCAAAUAAAGAGAUGGAUGCAUGUUGGUCUAAUCUGUGUGAAUCCCGAUCGCACCAAGAGGCCUCAGAUAACAGAGGUUAUCAGUAUGCUUGAAGAAGUAGAAAGUACUCUCUCCAUCCUAAAAUAAGUGUAAUAACUUUACUAUAACUUUAGCACAAAGUUGUACGGAAGUUAAGACACUUAUUUUUAAACAUUAGCAACGAGGCAACGUAUACAACA